AGUCUGGCGGGGCGGGAGUGUCAGACCGGAAAACCGAGCAGGGCUUCCCCGAGCGGGGGCCGUCCGGUCGCACAAUGAGACCCGCAGGACCAGACGCACUUGACUCUCGCCCGAAGGACGCCGCAGCCGGUUGGGCAGCAGCAAGCGUGACGCCCUGAGGGGCGGGGGACGGAAGGUGGCCGGGGGCGCGCUCAGCGCUCCCCVGGUUGUUAGCCACCCCGCCAGUGGCGCGUCGCCCGACCGAGGUGUCAAGAGGCCCCUUGCGGGCCCCAGCGUCUCCACCUCCAGUAAGGUGGCGGGACGGAGCGUCCGCAGCCGGCCKGCGAAAGCCCGCGCGCACCCCGACCGGGGUGGCCGGGAUUGCGCCGGCCCUCGUUGGCGGCGCCGUACCCGUCGCGGAGGCCGGAGGCUGGCGGCGAGUAGGUCGGUCACCCACCCGACCCGUCUUGAAACACGGACCAAGGAGUCUAACAUGUGCGCGAGUCAAUGGGUCUCGAAGAAGCCCAGAGGCGCAACGAAAGCAAAGGCCGCGCACCACGCCGGCCGAGCUGGGAUCCCCGGCACAGCCGGGGCGCACCAGCGGCCCGUCCCGUCCGGCUCGCCGGUGGGGCGGAGCAGGAGCGCACACGUUGGGACCCGAAAGAUGGUGAACUAUGCCCGGGCAGGACGAGGACAGAGGAAACUCUGUUGGAGG
Molecule: ribosomal RNA, 694 nt
Filed under: Nanocambridgea sp. CAS ENT 9055701
Lineage: Eukaryota; Metazoa; Arthropoda; Arachnida; Araneae; Stiphidiidae
Description: partial large subunit ribosomal RNA
Source: RNAcentral